RNAcentral lists this ribosomal RNA (879 nucleotides) under Leuconostoc mesenteroides. RNAcentral describes it as "bacterial SSU rRNA". It matches the Rfam family "Bacterial small subunit ribosomal RNA", at positions 1 to 864 of the family's 1533-position model. Lineage: Bacteria; Bacillati; Bacillota; Bacilli; Lactobacillales; Lactobacillaceae. The record is from RNAcentral.
AAGUAGUUUGAGAUUUUUGCUCAGGAUGAACGCUGGCGGCGUGCCUAAUACAUGCAAGUCGAACGCACAGCGAAAGGUGCUUGCACCUUUCAAGUGAGUGGCGAACGGGUGAGUAACACGUGGACAACCUGCCUCAAGGCUGGGGAUAACAUUUGGAAACAGAUGCUAAUACCGAAUAAAACUUAGUGUCGCAUGACAAAAAGUUAAAAGGCGCUUCGGCGUCACCUAGAGAUGGAUCCGCGGUGCAUUAGUUAGUUGGUGGGGUAAAGGCCUACCAAGACAAUGAUGCAUAGCCGAGUUGAGAGACUGAUCGGCCACAUUGGGACUGAGACACGGCCCAAACUCCUACGGGAGGCUGCAGUAGGGAAUCUUCCACAAUGGGCGAAAGCCUGAUGGAGCAACGCCGCGUGUGUGAUGAAGGCUUUCGGGUCGUAAAGCACUGUUGUAUGGGAAGAACAGCUAGAAUAGGAAAUGAUUUUAGUUUGACGGUACCAUACCAGAAAGGGACGGCUAAAUACGUGCCAGCAGCCGCGGUAAUACGUAUGUCCCGAGCGUUAUCCGGAUUUAUUGGGCGUAAAGCGAGCGCAGACGGUUUAUUAAGUCUGAUGUGAAAGCCCGGAGCUCAACUCCGGAAUGGCAUUGGAAACUGGUUAACUUGAGUGCAGUAGAGGUAAGUGGAACUCCAUGUGUAGCGGUGGAAUGCGUAGAUAUAUGGAAGAACACCAGUGGCGAAGGCGGCUUACUGGACUGCAACUGACGUUGAGGCUCGAAAGUGUGGGUAGCAAACAGGAUUAGAUACCCUGGUAGUCCACACCGUAAACGAUGAACACUAGGUGUUAGGAGGUUUCCGCCUCUUAGUGCCGAAGCUAACGCAUUAAG